AAGUCGUAACAAGGUCUCCGUUGGUGAACCAGCGGAGGGAUCAUUACCGAGUUUACAACUCCCAAACCCCUGUGAACAUACCUUAUGUUGCCUCGGCGGAUCAGCCCGCGCCCCGUAAAAAGGGACGGCCCGCCGCAGGAACCCUAAACUCUGUUUUUAGUGGAACUUCUGAGUAUAAAAACAAAUAAAUCAAAACUUUCAACAACGGAUCUCUUGGUUCUGGCAUCGAUGAAGAACGCAGCAAAAUGCGAUAAGUAAUGUGAAUUGCAGAAUUCAGUGAAUCAUCGAAUCUUUGAACGCACAUUGCGCCCGCCAGUAUUCUGGCGGGCAUGCCUGUUCGAGCGUCAUUUCAACCCUCAAGCCCAGCUUGGUGUUGGGAGCUGCAGUCCUGCUGCACUCCCCAAAUACAUUGGCGGUCACGUCGAGCUUCCAUAGCGUAGUAAUUUACACAUCGUUACUGGUAAUCGUCGCGGCCACGCCGUUAAACCCCAACUUCUGAAUGUUGACCUCGGAUCAGGUAGGAAUACCCGCUGAACUUAA
RNAcentral lists this ribosomal RNA (540 nucleotides) under uncultured fungus. RNAcentral describes it as "eukaryotic LSU rRNA". The stretch from base 194 to 347 matches the Rfam family "5.8S ribosomal RNA". The record is from RNAcentral. Lineage: Eukaryota; Fungi.